UCGCGCUAGGUGGGGAGCCAGCGGUGCCCUGUACCCGCAAUCCGCUUCAGCGGGGCUGAAUCCCCGCCCGAGGGAUCGCCCUGUGGGGCAGUCAACCGUGCGACGGCGUUGAGGGUCGGGUCCCGCGCAAUGGGAGCCCGUGAACCCCGUCAGGUCCGGGAGGAAGCAGCGGUAAGCGGUCUCUCCCAUGUGCCGCGGGGACACCUGGCCGGAGCCGUCGUUCGGAGAGGACGCUCGGAGGACGUGUUUCGACGGCGGGUGCGCGA
This 266-nucleotide signal recognition particle RNA is filed under the name Actinomycetota bacterium. RNAcentral describes it as "Actinobacteria bacterium signal recognition particle sRNA large type". It matches the Rfam family "Bacterial large signal recognition particle RNA". Rfam says of the family: The signal recognition particle (SRP) is a universally conserved ribonucleoprotein involved in the co-translational targeting of proteins to membranes. Archaeal SRP consists of a 7S RNA and homologues of the eukaryotic SRP19 and SRP54 proteins. The record is from RNAcentral. Lineage: Bacteria; Bacillati; Actinomycetota.